Molecule: ribosomal RNA, 253 nt
Filed under: uncultured bacterium
Lineage: Bacteria
Description: partial 16S ribosomal RNA
Rfam family: Bacterial small subunit ribosomal RNA
Source: RNAcentral
UACGAAGGGGGCUAGCGUUGCUCGGAAUUACUGGGCGUAAAGCGCACGUAGGCGGGUCGCUAAGUCGGGGGUGAAAUCCUGGAGCUCAACUCCAGAACUGCCUUCGAAACUGACGAUCUUGAGUUCGGGAGAGGUGAGUGGAACUGCGAGUGUAGAGGUGAAAUUCGUAGAUAUUCGCAAGAACACCAGUGGCGAAGGCGGCUCACUGGCCCGAUACUGACGCUGAGGCACGAAAGCGUGGGGAGCAAACAGG